AGGCUGCAGAUGCAAUACUGAAAAAGUUUCCUGACCAUGGAGAAACAUUGUCAAUGAAGGGGUUAACCUUAAAUUGCAUGGAUCGGAAAACUGAAGCUUAUGAGCUUGUUCGGCUAGAAUGAUGUAAAAAGUCAUGUUUGCUGGCACGUUUAUGGUCUCCUCUAUCGGUCAGAUAGAGAAUACAGGGAGGCUAUCAAAUGCUAUCGCAACGCUUUGAGAAUAGAUCCAGAC
This is a non-coding RNA of Durio zibethinus, 231 nucleotides long. The record is from RefSeq and is a predicted model, not a curated record. Lineage: Eukaryota; Viridiplantae; Streptophyta; Magnoliopsida; Malvales; Malvaceae.